UAAAACUCCGUGGAGGCAGGUUAUGUGGCGGCCUCCGGGUCCUGAGCGCUGACUCCAGCUCCGCAACAUGGAAGGCAGAAGACACAUUCCAAGCUAAAGUGGGUUAAGGUGCGGUCUAGCUGAUUGAGAAAGGAACUGAGAACUAAGUGGCUUUCGAUCAUCCGCCGGUGGAGAGGACAAUACCUAGAAAACUGCCUCAUGUGGUCUAAUGGAUCUGGGAUCGUGUGAGAAGCUCUCUGAGUGAGAAAGAAGAACACUGCUCUAUCCGUCAUCAGCUGAGGAUGGUAGAAAAGGAACUGAGGGGGCUCAUGUUGUGCUUACACUGAAGAUGUGAGGAGGGUGACACGGUUGAGGCUGGUCUCUCUGUGGCUGUGGGGGUGGUGGCGGUGGCACAGGCACAGCAGAGGCUGGUCUCCCGGAGGCUGUGAGGGGGUGACAGGGCAGAGGCUG
Non-coding RNA from Pelodiscus sinensis (Chinese soft-shelled turtle), 450 nucleotides. NCBI's taxonomy places the organism in Eukaryota, Metazoa, Chordata, Testudines, Trionychidae. The record is from RefSeq and is a predicted model, not a curated record.